Molecule: ribosomal RNA, 492 nt
Filed under: uncultured bacterium
Lineage: Bacteria
Description: partial 16S ribosomal RNA
Rfam family: Bacterial small subunit ribosomal RNA
Source: RNAcentral
AGUGAACGCUGGCGGUAGGCCUAACACAUGCAAGUCGAACGGCAGCACAGUAAGAGCUUGCUCUUACGGGUGGCGAGUGGCGGACGGGUGAGGAAUACAUCGGAAUCUACUUUUUCGUGGGGGAUAACGUAGGGAAACUUACGCUAAUACCGCAUACGACCUACGGGUGAAAGCAGAGGAUCUUCGGACCUUGCGCGAUUGAAUGAGCCGAUGUCGGAUUAGCUAGUUGGCGGGGUAAAGGCCCACCAAGGCGACGAUCCGUAGCUGGUCUGAGAGGAUGAUCAGCCACACUGGAACUGAGACACGGUCCAGACUCCUACGGGAGGCAGCAGUGGGGAAUAUUGGACAAUGGGCGCAAGCCUGAUCCAGCCAUACCGCGUGGGUGAAGAAGGCCUUCGGGUUGUAAAGCCCUUUUGCUGGGAAAGAAAAGCAGCAGGUUAAUACCCCGCUGUUCUGACGGUACCCAAAGAAUAAGCACCGGCUAACUUCGUG